This is a long non-coding RNA of Echinops telfairi (small Madagascar hedgehog), 1344 nucleotides long. RefSeq lists it as uncharacterized. The record is from RefSeq and is a predicted model, not a curated record. Lineage: Eukaryota; Metazoa; Chordata; Mammalia; Afrosoricida; Tenrecidae. The transcript is spliced from 4 exons.
UGUUUGUUAGCUUCAUAAAUCCUAAACUACAAAAAAUAUAUGUAGAAACAAUCAUGGACAGUCAGGUUAGAUCAGCUAAAUAAGAAUAAGUCCUGCAUUCCAUCAUGGCCUGAUGAGGUUUAAUGUGUUUCUUUCUUUGUCGAGGGAGGCAGGUGUUUGGUGAGAGGCAGCUUUUUAAUUUGUUUCUAUUUUGAGUUCUUUGGCCUAAUGCAGGCCCAUUUGACCAAUCAUCUUUUCCAAGAUAUUUCAGCUUUCUCCUCUUUGUCAGUAGGUAUCCAAGGAUUCCUGACCUUCAAGUGACCAUCUUUCCUUGACUUUGAAUUAGAUUUCCCUAGGCCGAGGGUCCAUACCAGUAUUUUGUACAACCAAAUAGGUUUUGCCCCAGUGAGGGCCACCUAGUGUGUUGACUGAAAACAAACAUGCAUCGUACAUACAUGAGGCUGAGAGAUUAUACAUUUUUUCAAGACAUUUUUCGUACUAUAACAGGGAUUCUCUUCUGUUUUAAUCAUCUUGUUUGAAAAUUAUUAAAAAGAUGGAAGCUUAGAUCUACUCACGAUCAUUUUGGUGGUCCUUAUGGUGAGCUGCUACUUGACAGUGGAAUCCACGUGGAAUUCAAAGGCCACUGAUGGUACAGUGGUUGAACACACAUCUGCAAGGAGAAGGCUGGUGACUCCCAGGAAGAACAACCAAGCAAGUGACUCCUGUCAAGAUCACUGCCAUGAAAACUCAAUGGAGACAAAGUUCUAUGCGGGCACAAGAGGCUGCUACAGGUCAAAUUUGAUUUGGUGCAACCCCCCAAGAGUAACAUGGCGUCUAUUGGAGUUUCUACUGGUGCAAAUGGUUACAAUGCAGCUAGACGAUUGAAAUUGGGUUCCUAGCAGAAGGCGCCUUGGGUGAUGGAUCUGUCCAGCUGCUUCCAAAAUAUCAUAACCAUAAAAGCUCUAUGGUUUGUCCUGGGUUGGAAUUGUUUAGACAGCAACUAACAACAGGACAUGACCUUAUUAGCAGACAAACACCAGUGUAUCCUUGCUGGAAGUUAGUUUAAAGAUUCUACUUUCUCCCGUUUCUCUACUAUACCCUAAAGUCUUUCAGUUUAAUCAUAAAUAUCUAUAUGUCAACACUUUAAUGUUCAUUAUCAUGUCAGUGCCCUGUUAUGGAUAAAAGAGCAACACCAUAUUAUAAUAGAUUUAUAGUUAUAUCUGGAAUAAAAAUCUAAUAUGAGCUAAUUUUUCUUAACAAUAUUAAACCUUUAUUAAAUUUGCUAUUCAUUUAGAUACUUAUUUACAUAUUACAUAUGGGUCUGUGUUUGAAAUUUGUUAGUUUCUCUCUGUUGUCCAUCUGUUU